Molecule: transfer RNA, 21 nt
Filed under: Diploderma splendidum
Lineage: Eukaryota; Metazoa; Chordata; Lepidosauria; Squamata; Agamidae
Description: partial tRNA-Ala
Source: RNAcentral
UAAAGACUGCGGGAUCACCCU